Molecule: long non-coding RNA, 206 nt
Filed under: Elaeis guineensis (African oil palm)
Lineage: Eukaryota; Viridiplantae; Streptophyta; Magnoliopsida; Arecales; Arecaceae
Description: long non-coding RNA (EGUI_LNC002517)
Source: RNAcentral
GCUUUCUAGCCAUGCUUCCACAUGGUGAAAUUUAUACAUGAGAAAAAUAGCUUUCCUAAUUUGACAUGAAGUAAAUUUAAGGGCCUAACUAAGAAGCAGUAACCAUGAAAAGGAUCGAUAGAUGUAGUAGUAGUACCUCAUGAUAGAAGUAUGAUUAAUCUAUCUACGACUAUACCACCAAAUUUCAUAAGCAAGCAAUCUCUCUC